AACUUAAACAAGUGAUAUAAAUGAUGAAUACCAAUUAAUAAAUGAAAAAUUCAAGACAAAAUAAUUUCUGAUUUGUCAACAACUGCUCAUGUGCAUUCACUUCACGACGGCAGCCGCAGACAGCUCAUGGUACGCGGCGCGCGCCUGCAUUGACAAUUCACGCUGGCGCGCACCUGUUAAUAAGAAAGUCUAAGCCAUGUCACAAAAAAGGAUUUAUCCCUCUGGUGCCGAAAAAAGAAAAGGAAAGAGGAAGAGAAAAAAGAGCAAGAUAAAGGAACACUGUUGAAGUACUUUGGAGAACAACCAAACCUGCCCCUACUGUUUCGAGUGUCAGUGCCUCCACAGCUGAUGAUGCAGCAGGUUCAUCCACUGCACAAGCGACAACAAGGGAGGAGCAAUUACAUGUGACUGAAAGCGAGGAGCAGUUACAAGCACCUACAUUUACUGAUCCACUGGUUUCAAACUCAGCCGGCAUGACAGGUCCUUCUACAUCUGAACCAACUGCUAUAGAUUUCCCAUCCACUGCCUCAACAAGCUCCAGCUAUCAAGAUGGAUCAACAGCUCCUCCAAUUGACCCAGUUGAAUGGUCAGCAUUCCUCUCAGAUUCAGAAAGGACUGAUCUGGUAAGAAGAGGGCCAGCGCCAAUCAGUGACACCUCUACAUUCCCCAAGAGAUCAGAUGGAUGAAGCUUUCACUACCACUAUACAUACAGACAAUUAGUUAAUGGGGAAAAAAAUCAAGCGAAGCUGGCUAAUUUAUUCAAAGAAAAGUGAUGAUGUUUACUGCUUCUGUUGCAA
Long non-coding RNA from Cyprinodon tularosa, 797 nucleotides. RefSeq lists it as uncharacterized. NCBI's taxonomy places the organism in Eukaryota, Metazoa, Chordata, Actinopteri, Cyprinodontiformes, Cyprinodontidae. The transcript has 4 exons. The record is from RefSeq and is a predicted model, not a curated record.